UACAGAGGUCUCAAGCGUUGCUCGGAUUUACUGGGCGUAAAGGGCGCGUAGGCGGCGCGACAAGUCACUUGUGAAAUCUCUGGGCUCAACCCAGAACGGUCAAGUGAUACUGUCGUGCUAGAGUGCGGAAGGGGCAACUGGAAUUCUCGGUGUAGCGGUGAAAUGCGUAGAUAUCGAGAGGAACACCUGCGGCGAAGGCGGGUUGCUGGGCUGACACUGACGCUGAUGCGCGAAAGCCAGGGGAGCGAACGGG
This 253-nucleotide ribosomal RNA is filed under the name uncultured bacterium. RNAcentral's name for it is "partial 16S ribosomal RNA". It matches the Rfam family "Bacterial small subunit ribosomal RNA", at positions 524 to 776 of the family's 1533-position model. The record is from RNAcentral.